UUUCAACCACAUUUAUUUAAUCCACACAAUCUCUGCUUGAUCGUUGUUGCUCCUGACCUGGUCCACUCACCUCCGUCAAGUCUGCAGCUUCCACGGCACUCUCUCGGCUCCCCCUCGUGCCUCUCAGUCAGCCUGCCACCACACUCCUCCACCAACCACCUGGUCAGUUCUCCUGUGCCUUCCAGUUCCCUCGUCCCAGCCUCCUGGGUCCCACCUGCUCCUCGGCUCCCUUGCCUCAGACUCUUCUGCCCUACUCGCUCCUCGGUCCCCUGUGCCCGUGUUCCCCCGGCAUCCACCUCUCCCUCACCUCCACUUCCUCAACCCCUUUUUCCCUCAAAACCAACUUCACCUGAGCGUUGCUUUUGGGUCCCCUCUGUCCAACAUGUUCUGGAGAUGCAUGGUUUUUAUACAGUACUAUUUUUAAUAUCAAUAUAACUGUUUUGUGUGUGUGUGUGUGUGUGUGUGUGUGCGCGCGCGCACACACCUACCUACCUACCUUAUCAAAAUGAGUAAACACAACCUGCCAUUUGCUAAUGGCUGACUGCAUAAUGACACAUAAUUGUAUUGUAGAUAACGAAUAAUGGUUUCAUGCCAGUUCCUCCAGCAUGUGGGAGAGGUUUGCAUUCAGGACCUUCUGGGAGCGAGGCUUUCUGCCUUUCUAUUUUCUUAAACCUAGAUAAUUAGUUUUGAUGCCUAAACCUAACCAGGUAGUAAGGCUUUCUGGUAAGAGGCCCCGAGGGCAAACUUUUCCCAUGUGCAUGAUUUAUCAGACUCCAAUCAGUGAAGUUGAAUUAUCCCUCUUUAAUAUUGGCACAUAUCUGUAAAAGUUUUCGAAAUGUCAUAGCCUUGUGGGUGUCUAAUCUCCAGCAAAAUGAACAGAAUACCAGGCACUGCCAGAGCUCAUUUGAUGACUGCUAGAAUUAAUCUUUCAUUUUUUGUUGUAUUGAUUUUCUUUUCUGAUGACCUAUAUAAAUGUCUGUCGGCAGCAGCUGCGUCGCACAUGUCUGACUCUGCGGCUGUUGCUGUGACCCACACGGCUCUGCUGCUUUCACUGCUCUUUAUCACUCUAAUCCCUCAUUUCAACAGUUAUUUUGUGAUGUAUUCAGCGUCCACAAUGACCACAGAUAACUGAAAUGAGAGGAAUAAAUGCUAUCAUUCCCCCCUCUCAGUUUACUAUCAACGAUAAUUGAUUAAACCCUCUUACGAAAAUUGAAAUGCGGCUGGGAUUUGGCAUUGCACGUUGAAGCCAAGUUCAGGCAAGUCAAGACCAAAGAAAACUUAAUUUUUAAAGACCUGAGAAAUUUGUAUGAGGGAGUGUGUGUGGGCAUGAGAAAAGGAGGACUUGGUUGAACGCGUCAUGAUAAUUAUAAUGUGUGCUGUGUUUGACAGAGUGGUGUCAUAUGUUUGACAUAUGUUAAAGUUUGUGGCUCACUUGACAAGAUCGGGUUUCAACAGUCCUUUAAUCCUUUUUGUCAGUCAAAUCAGUUAAACAUUAACCUAAUUUUAAAUGACGCUCUAAAUAAUUUGUACUUUGGCUCACAGGCACUCACUGUGCAUGAAAAUGUGCUUUGGGGGAGUGGCUUUGGAGGGAGGCCUGAAGGGGUGUUACUUUUUUGGUUUGGAUACUUUCAUAUUCUUGCUAGUUUCUCCAACGUUGCCUUCUCCAGCUUUAAAGUUGAUGAUAUAUGGAGCAAUUUUUAGAGCAAUGUUGCCGUCAAUGGUAAUGAGUAAAGAUUACUAUAAAAAGGGUGCAUUUCACUCACAAAGCCAUAUGGACAUUGUUUCAGCAUGUAACUCUGUGUUAGGUUUCAUCAUUUGCCUCCAGGAAAUAACCACGUCAUAAAAAGUUUGUUCAGCCCCGCCAAAGUGACACUGAUCCUGUUUUCAUUCAAUCCUAAAACAGUGUUGUGACCACACCACGGUCAUGUUCACCAUAUAUACCAACCCACUGCUCUAUAAUCACAAACCAGCAACGACACUGAGGAAGUAAAAUCCAGGCUGAGAAGCAAACAAAGUUUCCUCAACUGAUGGCUCUGGAUUAAGCAUCUAAAUUUGGACCUUUAUUGUUCACUGGAUUUACAUUUGUUUUCUUAUGCGCUGUGUUGGAUUUAUUAUGAUUUUGAUGUAAGGUUGUUUGCCUCAGCUUGUUCACAAAAGGCAGAGCGGCAAGAUGGCUUUAUUCAGCUUCCUCAUCCUGACCUCCUUGUGUAUUGCGGCCGAGAGGCCCUAAGCAAAUCUGAUUGUAAAGCAUAUGCCAAAUGACCUUGACCUUCAAGCUCACAUUUCUGUAUUGGAUAAUAAAAGGGUCAUAUUAUUUGUUAGUUCAGAUGUGGACCUUUAGGGAUGCCAUAUUUUAGUUAACUUCAGAUACUUAAUUAACACACUUGAAAGAGUGUUUAUUGCACUGGUAAGUAUGUGUUUACACAACCUGUUCCCAUUCAAUAGUCAACGCUGAUUAUUUAUACUAACAUACUAAUUUUUACACAAAACAUGGACUUUUCCUAAACCUAACAAAGUAGUUUUGGUGCCUAAACUAAUUUGCCAAAUUUCACAACAUUAGCAGGUGUUUAGUCUAACCAGCAUUAAAUAUUUAAUAUUGCUAAAUUGGUCGCAGUUUUUCUGCAACCAAUUCAAUUAAUUUUAAAUGUAUUUUUGAUAUGGAAUUUCAGCUUUUCUAUAAAAUUGUUCCUUACAUACAGAAUCAUUUUCAGCAUUUUGUUUCACACAAUUCCUCCAUCUGAAUAUGCUGAAUAGUAGUUUGGAUUAUUCCAUAAAGUGAAUGAAUAUCACUUCAGAAUCUUUUCUAAUAUAAUGACGUCUUUUCACCAUCAGAAUACACUGAUAUCGCUGUGGUGUGUGGCACGUCAUACAUUGAUCUGGCAAUUCAAAUCUGCCCAGCUAUCUACAGCGGAUACAACAAAAGCUUACUGAUGCUCAACUACAUCGCAGACAUUGUGGACUGUCAGGGAAAGGUGGACACCUCAUUGACACCUCCUGUGUUGAGAUUCAGCAUCCAAAUCAAACAGACAAAAGCCUGUGGGAGUGACUUCUUGGUCAUCCUUCAUUGUUUUGAAGGACAACAAUGGGAGCUUCAUCAGUACCCUCAGCAUGUCCUUAUACCAGGAUAUAAAUUACACCAAGCCCCUUGUCAUGCCACCUCUGGGCAUUGAACUGAGAACACACAUCUAUGUGCAGGUGGUUGCAUCCAACAUGACAUCACAGUGCGAGUGUGACUGGUUGUUUGUCUAUGUGUGGCCCUGCGAUGGACUGGCGACCAGUCC
This is a long non-coding RNA of Micropterus dolomieu (smallmouth bass), 3281 nucleotides long. RefSeq lists it as uncharacterized. The transcript is spliced from 5 exons. The record is from RefSeq and is a predicted model, not a curated record. NCBI's taxonomy places the organism in Eukaryota, Metazoa, Chordata, Actinopteri, Centrarchiformes, Centrarchidae.